AUGACUGACCAAACUGUCAAUAGUGCAGCCGGCGGCAAUGGGCCUGAGCCUGAGCAGUAUGAUCCAUCCAAGGAUCCUAAGCGGAAGGCAAAGUCGGGAGACCCUGGGUGGAAGUAUGGGUAUUGGCAUGAUAUGAACAGGAGGGAUAGGAUACGAUGCACUUUUUGCGGGACAGAUGUGCAUGCUGGAAUAGCAAGGUUCAAGCGUCACCUAGCUGGGGCUAGUACUAAAGGGAAGAAGAAUUCUAUAAAAUGCAAGAAGGUGCCAGAGGCUGUUUCAAAGAAGAUGCUGGAUUUCAUGAAGGCCUACGCAAAGAAGCAUAAUAUGCCAGGGGAGUCUGAUAAAGAAGAUACAGCAACUGGUGAUGAAGAAGAGGAUGCAACAGCAACUCAAACUAGUAGUAGGACAACAGCAAAAAGGAAGGCCAAGACUGUCCAAACUGAAUUACAUACACAAAAGGCUUCAAGAACAAUUGCCGGGAUGAUUAGGAAGACUCCGGAAGAAGUCAUUGAGCUAAGGCACUCGAAGAAUCCUUCUCAAGCCGCAUUGAACGCAGGUUGCUUCAAAAGGACCACCGAGGAUAAGGAUAGAGUUGAUGAUCAUUGGGCAGCAUUUUCCUAUGCCAAUGCCAUUCCCUUCAAUGUUACCCGAUCAAGAGCCUUUGAGAUUGCAUUGGAGUCCACCGGGCAAUAUGGUCCAGGCUACAUCCCCCCAACUAUUCAUGCUCUUAGGCUUCCACUUCUUGUGAAAGCAAAGAAGAAGACACAUGCAUUGAGAGAGCAACAUGAGCUGGCUUGGCAAGAGUAUGGCUGCACACUAAUGUCCGAUGGGUGGACCGAUGGGAGGACUAGGCACUUGGUCAACUUCCUUGUCAAUAGUCCAGCCGGGACUUUCUUCAUUGAUAGCGUUGACAUACCAGCCUUAGUAGCCAGCAAAGAAUUGUUGGCAGAUUUGAUGGAGAAAAGGAUCAACGACAUUGGAAGAGGCUACGUGGUUCAGAUUUGCACGGAUAAUGGUGCUAACUACAAGGCAGCGGGUAGACUCUUAACAGAGAGGAUUCCUACAUUAUGGUGGACCCCUUGUGCAGCCCAUUGUUUGAACCUUAUGUUGGAGGCCAUUUGCAAAAUCAAGCAAUUCAGCGAGUGUAUUACAAAUGGAAAAAGGGUGUCUACAUUCAUCUACAGGCAUGGCAAGGUUUUAGAUGAAAUGAGAGUGAAGACCGACAACCGUGAUCUUGUGAGGGCUGGAGCUACUCGCUUUGCCACAAAUUUUCUCAACUUGCAAAGCUUGCACAAACAUAGGCAAGCUCUCAAAGAAUUGUUUGUGGGUGAUGUUUGGCAUAGCAAUAAGAAGUUGUCAACCUCACCGGUGGGACAAAAAGUUCAAGAAGAUGUGUUGUCCAUUAGUUUUUGGAACUCAGUAGAGACUUGCAUGAAAGUUUCUCUACCUCUUCUAAGGGUGCUAAGGAUUGUUGAUGGCGAUGAGAAGCCGGCGAUGCCCGAGGUUAUGGCAGCAAUGGAUUAUGCAAAGGAGAGAAUCAAGGCUGCGAUAGAUGACAAACCAACGUUGGUUAAGAAGGUGACAAAAAUAGUAGAGGACAAGUGGGAAUCUCAAAUGGGGGUGAAGUUGUAUGGAGCUGCACUAUUCUUAAACCCAAAUAGGAUCUAUGGUCUCAAAGCUAAGCCCGAGAAAGCACGAUAUUGUCAAAGGCUUAGGCAUAUGUUCAAUGAGGUGCUAUUGCACAUGGAGCCCGAUGAUGAUAAAGCAAGCGUGAUAAGUAGAUUGGCUGAUGACUAUGAAAGAGGUGAAGGUGAAUGCUUCAGCUCUAAGUUGGCAAUCAAUGACCGAACAAAAAAGAGUCCUCUUCUUUGGUGGGGUGCUUAUGGUGGCCUUGCUUAUGAGCUGCAACAUUUAGCAAAGCACAUAGUUAGCCUUUGUGCUUCAGCUUCCGGUUGCGAACGAAAUUGGUCUUGCUUUCAAAAUAUCCAUAGCAAAAAGAGAAAUAGGUUGGAGUUCCAAAGACUUAAUGAUUUGUCAUAUGUUCAAUACAACCGGAAGAAUGCCGAUAGGUUCCAAAAGAUUCGUGAGGAAGGCUCCAAAGGGACUAGGUCUGACCCAUUAGUCCUAGAAGACAUUAGUCCUAGAAGACUUACAAUGGGACAAUGA
This 2166-nucleotide ribosomal RNA is filed under the name Triticum aestivum (bread wheat). RNAcentral describes it as "partial small subunit ribosomal RNA". Lineage: Eukaryota; Viridiplantae; Streptophyta; Magnoliopsida; Poales; Poaceae. The record is from RNAcentral.